RNAcentral lists this long non-coding RNA (5340 nucleotides) under Canis lupus familiaris (dog). Its description in RNAcentral is "lncRNA (ENSCAFG00000050799.1)". The record is from RNAcentral. Lineage: Eukaryota; Metazoa; Chordata; Mammalia; Carnivora; Canidae.
UUUUUUUUUUUUUUUUUUACUUUGAUUCUUUAUGAGACAUCAGGAAACUGUUCCUGAUAAUCCUGUGGUUCUUGAAAUGCUUCCCUAUAAGCCUAAAACAGAAGAUUCUGAGUGUGAAAUAAGAAAUAAAAAUAAAACAGUUCUUUCAGUAGGAGGGAGACUUGACCUUCUGUUGAGUUGGCAUUCUUUGGAACAGUAACCAAAGACCCGGCCAAGCAGAGUCACUGCAGUAAGACAGAGAGUGAGCAGAACAAGGGUUAUGGACAGAGAGCGAAAUGUUUGUGUUCAGGUUUCAGAUGGCAGCAAAGAUCAGGGUGGGCUGGGGGAGUGUGGCUGAAAUCGAGUCAGUGGAAGGCCAAGGAGCAGACAAAAGUCAAGGUCCUUUCUGUCAGGUUGUUGGGACAGCUCAUACCUGUGGCCACUCACAUGCCUUCUUACAGGGGCAAAGCAGGUCUUGGAGGAGAGAGAGGGAGAAAGUUUGAUAGAAGACAAAGCCAAAGGAGACAGAUUCAUAAAGGAAGGGUUUUAAUGAGAGGGAGGAGAGUCAUACUCUAGAAGUGCUCUGGAGAGUUCCUGACUCUGGUAAUGGUUGAGAAGCUCCUACUAGAUCAAGCAUCCUGAAAGUCACAGCUAUCAACUCAGAAAAUGUUCAAAAGAACAACCACUUGCUUCCUUGACAUCACUGGGGAGUGGAUCAAAGCAGGCAGAUACUGAAGGGGAUCAGAAGGGAAUUUCCUGUUAUGAAAGCUUUGGCCCUGAAGACAGGUGAGGACAGUGCCUUGAGGAGGACUGAAACUGAAGCAGGAGCUUGUAAGUUUUCUGAGUUGAAGAAUCAGAGGACAGAGUGCAGGGUGAUUACAGCAGCUGGUGGUAGAGGUUGUAGGAUCUCAGAAAGAGGAGAUCCAGAGUGGGGGAACCCCCAAAUCUCUAUCUAGACAUACCAUAUUUUGUUGUCCUUCACAGACAUUGAAUAUUUUCCAAACUGAAGUUUGUGGCAACCUUGUCUGGAGAUAGUCUCUUGGCACCAUUUUUCCGACAGCAUUUGCUCACUUUGUGAGAACACAAGUGUCUCUGUGUCAUAUUUUGGCAAUUCUCACAGUAUUUCAAGACUGUUUUUUAUUCUUAUAUUUGCUAUGUUGAUCUGUGAUUAGUUACCUACGAUAUUGCUAUUAUAGUUGUUUUUGGGUGCUGCAAACCAUGCCCAUAUAAGGUGGCAAACUUAAUCGGUAAAGAUUUUGUAGGUCCUGAGUAGUCCACUGUCAAGUCCAUCCCCAUCUAUCUCCCUCCUCUGAGCCUUCCUAUUCACUGAAAUAAAAUAUUGAAAUUAGGCUCCUAAUUUCAAUUAGGGGCACCUGGGUGGCUCAAGAGGUUGAGCAUCUGACUCUUGAUAUCAGCUCAGGUCUUGAUCUCAGGGUCAUGAGUUCAAGCCCCACAUUGGGCUUCCUGCUGGGUAUGGAGCCUACUUUAAAAAGAAAGAAAGACAGAGAGGGAAGGCAGGAGGGAGGGAAGGGAGGGAGGGAGGGAGGAGGGGGGAAGGGAGGAAGGAAGGAAGAAAGGAAGGAAGGAAGGAAGGAAGGAAGGAAGGAAGGAGAAGGAAGAAAGAAACUGGGUCAACUAAUAACCUUACAGUGGCCUCUAAGUGCUCAAGUAAAAGAAAGAGUUGCACAUUUCUCACUUUAAAUCAAGAAAUAAAAAAAAUCAAGAAAUAAUUAAGGGGAUGCCUGGGUGGCUCAGUUGGUAAACAUCUGCCUUUGGCUCAGGUCAUGAUCCUGGGGUCCUGGGAUCAAGCCCCACAUCGGACUCCCUGUUUGGCAGGGAGUCUGCUUGUCCCUCUCCUUCUGUUGCUUCUCCUGCUUGUGCUCUCUCUCUCUCUCUCUGUCAAAUAAAUAAAUAAAAUCUUUUAAAAAAAAAGAAAGAGUUAAGAAAUAAUUAAGCUUCAUGAGGAAGACAUGUCAAAAACCAACAUAGUCCAAAAGCUCAGCCUCUUGUGCCAGUUAGCCAAGUUGUGAAGAUAAAGUAAAAGUUUUGAAGGAAAUGAAAAGUGCUACUUCAGUGAACAUAUGAGUGAUAAGAAAGCAAACAGUUUUAUUGCUGAUCUGGAGGAAAUUUUAGUGGUCUGGAUAGAAGAUCAAAUCAGACACAACAGUCCCUUAAGCCAAAGCCUAAUCCAGGGCAAGGCCCUAACUUCCUUCAGUUCUUUGUAGGCUGAGAAAGGUGGGGAAGCUGCAGAAGAAAAGUGUGAAGCUAGCAGAGGUUGGUUCAUGAAGUUUAAGGACAGAAACCAUCAAUCUCAAUUUCCUGGUUUUGAUAAUUGUGCUAUGUUUAUAUUAGAUGUUCACAUCUAGAGAAGCUGGAUGUAAAUAUAGUAUUCAGAGUGAAAUUUAUACUUGUAAAAACAUAUGCUAGAAGAUAAGAACAACUGAAAACCAGUGAUGUAAGCUACUAUUACAAGAAGCUUGAGUAAAGAAUAACAAUUUGGCUAAAAUCAAUACAAGAAACAAGUGUUGGCGAGGAUGUGGGGAAAGCGGAACUCUCUUGCACUGUUGGUGGGAAUGCGCACUGGUGUAGCCACUGUGGAAGACAGUGUGGAGGAAAAUUAAAAAUAGAAUUACUAUAUGAUCCAUUAGUUCCUCUACUGGGUAUUUACCCAAAGAAUAUGAAAAUGCUCAUUUGAAAAGAUAUAUGUGGUACACCUGGCUGGCUCAGUCAGUAGAACAUAGGACUCUUAAUCUUGGGGAUAUGAGCUCGAGCCCCACAUUGAGUGUAGAAAUCAAUUAAAAAUAAUAAAAUAUUUUUUUAAAAAAGAAAAGAUGUAUGCAUCUCUAUGUUUAUUUACAGCAGACAAGAAAUGGAAACAACCAAAGUGCCACUGACAAAUAAAUGAAUAAAAAAGAUGUGGUAUAGGGAUCCCUGGGUGGCACAGUGAUUUGGUGCCUGCCUUUGGCCCAGGGCGUGAUCCCGGAGACCCGGGAUCGAAUCCCACGUCGGGCUCCCGGUGCAUGGAGCCUGCUUCUCCCUCUGCCUAUGUCUCUGCCCCUCUCUCUCUUUGUGUGACUACCAUAAAAAAAAAAAAAGAUGUGGUAUAAAUAUAUAUACACCACACAUAUUUAAAUAUAUGUGUGGUACAUAUAUAUUUGGUAUAUAUGUAUAUAUAGGUACUAAUAAAUAUAAAUAUAUAUUUAAAUAUAUGUAGUAUAUACAUACACCACAUAUAUAAAUAUAUAUUUAUAUUGGAAUGUGUGUGUGUGUGUAUAUAUAUAUAUAUAUAUAUCCCAUAUCUUGGCUGCUGUAAAUUUUAUAUGUAUAUGUAUGUUGGAAUAUUACUUAGCUGUAAAAAAAAUGAAAUCUUGCUAUUUGCAACAACAUGAAUGGAUCUAGAGGGUAUAAUGCUAAGUGAAAUAAGUCAGUCAGAAAGUUAGAGAAAGGCAAAUACCAUAUGAUUUCACUCAUAUGUGGAAUUUAAGAAACAAAUCAACAAAGAAAAAAAAGAGCCAACCAAAAAAACAGACUCUUAAGUAUAGAGAACACACUGGUGGUUAGCAGAGGGAUGGAAGGUGGGGGGAUGGGGAAAACAGGUGAAGGAGAUCAAGAGUACACUUACUAUGAUGAACACUGAGUAAUGUACAGAAUUGUUGCAUCACUAUAUUGUACACCUGAAACUAAUAUAACACUGUAUAUUAACUAUACUGGAAUUUUAAAAUAAAUUUUAAAAUAAAUAAGAAUAACAAUUUGUCCAAACAUUUAAGAAAUAUAUAAUAACAAUUUUUGGAGAAAAAUACUCUUACAGAAAAUACAAAAGGAGGUAAUACUUCUCAAGUUAUUGACAAAAGCUUGACAAAGGCUUACAAGAAAGGGAAAUUUCAAGUGAAUAUCAGUCAUGAUAACAGACACAAAAAAACCUAAACAAUAUAUUAAAUCUAAUACUGCAAUAUAUAAAUGGAAUAUUUCAAAGACAAAUGGGUUUACUGCAGGAAUAAAUGCCACUUUACACCAACAGAGGAGCUAAACUAGAAUGAGCAGGCAAGUCCAAGAUUUGCCAUUGAUGUGGAGAAAUAAGAAGAUUCAUACCUUGCUGUUGGGGAUGUAUAGUCAUACAAUCCUUUAGGAAACUGGCCGUUUACUAAAACUAAACAUAUGCUUAACCAGCGUGGAAGCAAAGCCUUGGUAUAAACCCAGGAGUGAUGCGUGCACAUGUCCCACAAAAGAUAAGUACUAGGAUGUUCACGGCAGAGUUGUUCAAAAUGGCCAAACAUUGGAAACAACCCAAAUGUCCAUCAAUUGUAGAGUAGAUAAGAAAUAAUAGCCUAUUCAUACAAUGAUAUUCUGCAUAGCAAUUUUAAAAAGUACCCACUACAAUGUGCUGGUACCUGCAACAAUGUGAAUUAUUAUCAUAGAUAUGUUAAGUGAAAAAAGCAAACAUACAAAAAUGAAAACAUACUCACUCUGUGAUUCCAUUUAUGUGAAUUUCAAAAAUAAUGGGCAAAACAAAUUUGUGAAGGUCAGGACAGUAGUUGCUUUGGGGGUGAAAAUGACUGGAUGGGACACAGAAGAAUCUUUCAAAGUAUUAGAAACAUUCUGAGUAGUAUCCACAUGGUCUAUACAAGUGUAGAAAUUCUUCAAGCCCAUUCAUUCAAUAUCCAUGCCCAUUACUGCAUGUAAUUUAUAGUUAUCAAAGAAAAAAGCAAAAAAAUUGAGCAGAAAAUAGCAAAAUAUAUACAAGAAUAAUAGUUUAUUUAAAGUAGCUUCCUUUAGGGUCACCUAACUGGCUCAGUCAGUAGAGCAUGCGACUUUUGAUCUCAGAUCGUGAGUUGGGCAUGGAGCCUACCUAAAAUAAAUAAAUAUUUUUUUAAAGUAGUUUCCUUUAGGGAUGCCUGGAUGACACAGCGGUUAAACAUCUGCCUUCAGCUCAGGGCGUGAUCUUGUUGGGGGGUCCUGGUAUCAAGUCCUGCAUUGGGCUCCCCAUGAGCCUGCCCCCCCCCCCCCGCCUACAUCUCUGCCUCUCUCUGUGCAUCUCUCAUGAAUAAAUAAAUAAAAUCUUUCUCUUUUAAAGUAGUUUCCUUUGGCUGAGGGGUGUCAAGGGUAGGAGGAUAGGUUGGAGCAAGGUAAUUUCACUUUAUAUCCAUUUUGAAUUUGAAAUCAAGUGAGUUACUUGUUCAAAAGAAUAAGUUAGGGAUCCCUGGGUGGCCCAGCAGUUUAGCGCCUGCCUUUGGCCCAGGGUGCGAUCCUGGAGUCCCAGGAUCGAGUCCUGCGUCAGGCUCCCGGCAUGGAGCCUGCUUCUCCCUCCUCCUGUGUCUCUGCCUUUCUCUCUCUCUCUCUCUCUCUCUCCCUCUCUCUCUCUAU